RNAcentral lists this transfer RNA (72 nucleotides) under Loxodonta africana (African savanna elephant). It matches the Rfam family "tRNA". Rfam says of the family: Transfer RNA (tRNA) molecules are approximately 80 nucleotides in length. Their secondary structure includes four short double-helical elements and three loops (D, anti-codon, and T loops). Lineage: Eukaryota; Metazoa; Chordata; Mammalia; Proboscidea; Elephantidae. The record is from Rfam by way of RNAcentral.
GCCCUGGUGGCACAGUGGUUAAGUGCUUGCCUGCUAACCAAAAGGUUGGUGGUUCAAACCCACCCAGUGGUU